RNAcentral lists this ribosomal RNA (253 nucleotides) under uncultured bacterium. RNAcentral's name for it is "partial 16S ribosomal RNA". It matches the Rfam family "Bacterial small subunit ribosomal RNA", at positions 524 to 776 of the family's 1533-position model. The record is from RNAcentral.
GACGUAGGGUCCAAGCGUUGUCCGGAUUUACUGGGCGUAAAGGGCGCGUAGGCGGCGUGUCAAGUCAGGCGUGAAAGCCCCGGGCUCAACCUGGGAACCGCGCUUGAGACUGGCAUGCUCGAGUUCGGGAGAGGAUGGUGGAAUUCCCAGUGUAGAGGUGAAAUUCGUAGAUAUUGGGAAGAACACCGAUGGCGAAGGCAGCCAUCUGGACCGACACUGACGCUGAGGCGCGAAAGCGUGGGGAGCAAACAGG